GAUCCUACGGGAGGCAGCAGUGGGGAAUCUUGCGCAAUGGGCGAAAGCCUGACGCAGCAACGCCGCGUGCGGGAUGAAGGCCUUCGGGCUGUAAACCGCUUUCAGCAGGAACGAAAAUGACGGUACCUGCAGAAGAAGGAGGGGCCAACUACGUGCCAGCAGCCGCGGUGACACGUAGGCUCCAAGCGUUGUCCGGAUUUAUUGGGCGUAAAGAGCUCGUAGGCGGUUUAGUAAGUCGGGUGUGAAAACUCUGGGCUUAACCCGGAGACGCCAUCCGAUACUGCUAUGACUUGAGUUCAGGAGGGGAGCGGGGAAUUCCUAGUGUAGCGGUGAAAUGCGCAGAUAUUAGGAGGAACACCGGUGGCGAAGGCGCCGCUCUGGACUGAAACUGACGCUGAGGAGCGAAAGCAUGGGUAGCAAACAGGAUUAGAUACCCUGGUGGUCCAUGCCGUAAACGGUGGGCACUAGGUGUGGGUUCCAACUAACGGGAUCCGCGCCGUCGCUAACGCAUUAAGUGCCCCGCCUGGGGAGUACGGUCGCAAGACUAAAACUCAAAGGAAUUGACGGAUC
Molecule: ribosomal RNA, 570 nt
Filed under: uncultured bacterium
Lineage: Bacteria
Description: bacterial SSU rRNA
Rfam family: Bacterial small subunit ribosomal RNA
Source: RNAcentral